Molecule: long non-coding RNA, 1300 nt
Filed under: Amazona collaria (yellow-billed parrot)
Lineage: Eukaryota; Metazoa; Chordata; Aves; Psittaciformes; Psittacidae
Description: lncRNA (ENSACOG00000013655.1)
Source: RNAcentral
AUGAUUCAUAUUUUUGUUUCCUUUUGUACCAACAGGGGAGGCUGGAGAAAAGGGGGAGAAGGGUGCUCCAGGUCGUCCAGGCAGAGUUGGGCCUCCAGGAGAAAAAGGAGAAAUGGGGGACAAAGGACAGAAAGGCAGCAUGGGACGGCAUGGAAAAAUUGGUCCUAUUGGUUCAAAAGGUAUGCUCAGUUCAAUUUUGUCUUCUCCAUUUGUGUUUCAGAUGAAAAAUCUGUAGUCAUUUACGUUUGAGAAAAGCUUAUGGAGUUGAACAAUGGUUAAUGAGUCUCAGAGUUUAUCAACCAGGGAGUUUCUCUGGUGUAGUCAGCCACAUGACUGGUAUCUCUCAGCCAGUUACCUUUCCCUCUGACAGCAGUAUAUUUAGCCUUGUGGCAGGGUAAGAAUCCUGGUUUAUGGUUAAAUAAAGAACUUUGUGUACUAUCACGCAAGUGUGGACAGUUAAGAGCAUCACAUGGGAGGAUGCACUGUAUUUUGGCAGACUUCUAAGCGCCAAUUCUAAUUGUAAUUCUGAAUUCUAAUCUUGCCUAUCCCGUAGGCUUCCUAUGUGACUUUGAUAAAGUCAUUUGGACCAAUGUUUACUUAAACAUCUAGAUUAUGAAUCUAGAUUUAAGCACCAGUGUAGCAUAUCCAGCCCUUUUCCCUCUACAGCAUCUGAAUGUACUGGUUCUGUGAAGUUCAUGAAUGUCAAAAAAUGGAUAUUGGUACAUAUUCUUUGUGUUCAAGUUUCAUAGCUUUGGCUGGACAGGAAAAAUUGUAUUUUUGUUUGGGUGUAUUUCUACUUUUCAUAUUUGAAUGUUACUAGAAAAAAAAUAAACCAGUGCUAAUGAACUGUUGACCAAAAAAGGUGCCUUAAAUUUAUGUUCUUUUUCAUGUCUUUAGGUGAAAAAGGAGACAUAGGUGACAUAGGACCACCAGGUCCUAAUGGUGACCCAGGUAAGCCAUGUAAUACCUUGUGUAUGUGAAGGAUUUCACAAGAUGCAUGUAUCAUCACCAAAAACACACGCCUGUUUGCAUACUGGGGGAGUGUCCUGGGUUCAGCAGUAGCAGUCAUUUUUCUCCUUCUCGGUAGCUGGUGCAGCGCUGUGUUUUUGAUUUGGGGCCUGGGAACAGUGCUGAUAACACCAGUGUUUUCAGUUACUGCCUGGUGAUAUUUAGGCUGGCCAAGGACUUUGUGAGUCUCAUGCUCUGCCAGGGAGGAGGGGAAGCCGGGAGGAAGGAGAGACGGGACACCUGACCCAGACUGACUAAAGAGGUUAUUCCAUACCACAGCACGUCAUGUUCA